UAGCCGUCUCAUUUACCCAAUGGGUCGGCCCUCCUCCUUUUGUUUCCGCCCCCAAAGAGCCGUUACAGUAUGAUUUUGCGGUAUAAUCAAACCCCGGUGUGCUUGAGGACACAUUGGUCCACCCGGUCCAGUUAAGGUUUCUAUAGACAUUUAUCCCUUGUUGAUUAUUCCCAAAGUGCACGCAUGCUGCACCGGUGUAGUUAAUUGGUGCUACCAAACCCAGAAGGUCAAGCUCUUGCGGGUCCCAGGGCAAUGAUGCAUUCAGCGUGUCAAUGCUCUCUCAGCUUUGGUAGGUCUACGGUCAAAUUCAAUGGGACCCCUAUUAAGCAUGUCUUAAAAGGCUGCCCUGCACCCGCCAGCAUCAGGCAAAAUYGCUUAUUUCCUGUCCGGUUUGCCCAGGUGAGCCAUAGAUUGUUACUACCCCAUUUCGCUAACGUUGGUUCGCCUUUCACCCCUUGGAGUCCCAGUCCCAGCAUCGCUACGAGGAGAGCUACUUGGGUYGCUCCCCCUGCCAUCUUCUCGGGUUUUCUGGUUACGCGUUCUUCUUGUGGUUUCACGCGCCUUUUCUCAUCUGUUCUUCUUCUCCUGUCUGCUGUCUUUGCUGCUAGGAGGGAUCAUCRGCYWUUCAGGGUGGUCCUCCCCUGCAAUAAAGCUCAGACAUUCAUUAAUUCAUCUGACUCUCUGCUUCCUGUCUUGUCCUUCCCCUGAGGUCUGGGCGCACCCACUUUGCAGGGACCCAUCUUACCACUUCUCCCUG
This 757-nucleotide long non-coding RNA is filed under the name Dromaius novaehollandiae (emu). RNAcentral's name for it is "lncRNA (ENSDNVG00000000341.1)". Lineage: Eukaryota; Metazoa; Chordata; Aves; Casuariiformes; Dromaiidae. The record is from RNAcentral.